CCUUGACGGUACCUAACCAGAAAGCCACGGCUAACUACGUGCCAGCAGCCGCGGUAAUACGUAGGUGGCAAGCGUUGUCCGGAAUUAUUGGGCGUAAAGCGCGCGCAGGCGGUUUCUUAAGUCUGAUGUGAAAGCCCCCGGCUCAACCGGGGAGGGUCAUUGGAAACUGGGGAACUUGAGUGCAGAAGAGGAGAGUGGAAUUCCACGUGUAGCGGUGAAAUGCGUAGAGAUGUGGAGGAACACCAGUGGCGAAGGCGACUCUCUGGUCUGUAACUGACGCUGAGGCGCGAAAGCGUGGGGAGCGAACAGGAUUAGAUACCCUGGUAGUCCACGCCGUAAACGAUGAGUGCUAAGUGUUAGAGGGUUUCCGCCCUUUAGUGCUGCAGCAAACGCAUUAAGCACUCCGCCUGGGGAGUACGGUCGCAAGACUGAAACUCAAAGGAAUUGACGGGGGCCCGCACAAGCGGUGGAGCAUGUGGUUUAAUUCGAAGCAACGCGAAGAACCUUACCAGGUCUUGACAUCCUCUGACAACCCUAGAGAUAGGGCUUCCCCUUCGGGGGCAGAGUGACAGGUGGUGCAUGGUUGUCGUCAGCUCGUGUCGUGAGAUGUUGGGUUAAGUCCCGCAACGAGCGCAACCCUUGAUCUUAGUUGCCAGCAUUCAGUUGGGCACUCUAAGGUGACUGCCGGUGACAAACCGGAGGAAGGUGGGGAUGACGUCAAAUCAUCAUGCCCCUUAUGACCUGGGCUACACACGUGCUACAAUGGGCAGAA
Molecule: ribosomal RNA, 772 nt
Filed under: Bacillus sp. (in: firmicutes)
Lineage: Bacteria; Bacillati; Bacillota; Bacilli; Caryophanales; Bacillaceae
Description: bacterial SSU rRNA
Rfam family: Bacterial small subunit ribosomal RNA
Source: RNAcentral